GAGGGUAUAGCUCAAGUGGUAGAGUGCAUGCUUAGCAUGCACAAGGUCCUGGGUUCAACCCCCAGUACCUCCU
This 73-nucleotide transfer RNA is filed under the name Camelus bactrianus (Bactrian camel). It matches the Rfam family "tRNA". From Rfam's summary of the family: Transfer RNA (tRNA) molecules are approximately 80 nucleotides in length. Lineage: Eukaryota; Metazoa; Chordata; Mammalia; Artiodactyla; Camelidae. The record is from Rfam by way of RNAcentral. RNAcentral also lists the same sequence under 3 other names.